GGGAUGGUGACGUCGAGGGCGGUGAGAACGGCAGUGAUAGCGCUGCGGUGGGGCCCGCGCUGGGCGAGGGUUUGGAUGUCAGCGUCUGUGAGGGACUUACCGAGGGAGUAGGAGGUGUCGGAAAGCUGGCGGCCGAGAGAGACGCGGGCGGCUCCGCCGCGGUAGCGCUCGGUGGUACGCCACCAGGUGGCUACGGAGGGAGCAAGCGGCGGAGAGGCAGUGGAAGAGGGAGUGAGGGAGCGGACGAAGUCGGUGAUGAUGGCUUUCUGGGAGGUGGAGAAGGUGCCGUAGAAGAGGAGGUGGAGGGUGAGGUUGCCCUUGAGGAGGAGGCCGUUGUGGUAGCUCAGGACGAGAGGGGGAGGUUCAACGAGAAUGAGUUUGCGGGGCCCAGUGGCUGCCGCGACAGCGCCCAG
Molecule: unclassified non-coding RNA, 413 nt
Filed under: Hevea brasiliensis (rubber tree)
Lineage: Eukaryota; Viridiplantae; Streptophyta; Magnoliopsida; Malpighiales; Euphorbiaceae
Source: RNAcentral